RNAcentral lists this ribosomal RNA (253 nucleotides) under uncultured bacterium. Its description in RNAcentral is "partial 16S ribosomal RNA". It matches the Rfam family "Bacterial small subunit ribosomal RNA", at positions 524 to 776 of the family's 1533-position model. The record is from RNAcentral.
UACGUAGGGUGCAAGCGUUGUCCGGAAUUAUUGGGCGUAAAGAGCUCGUAGGCGGUCUGUCGCGUCUGCUGUGAAAAUCCAGGGCUCAACCCUGGACCUGCAGUGGGUACGGGCAGACUAGAGUGCGGUAGGGGAGAUCGGAAUUCCUGGUGUAGCGGUGAAAUGCGCAGAUAUCCGGAAGAACACCAGUGGCGAAGGCGGCUCUCUGGGACGGUACUGACGCUGAGGCACGAAAGCGUGGGGAGCAAACAGG